Papaver somniferum (opium poppy) is the source of this 1366-nucleotide long non-coding RNA. RefSeq lists it as uncharacterized. The record is from RefSeq and is a predicted model, not a curated record. The transcript is spliced from 5 exons. NCBI's taxonomy places the organism in Eukaryota, Viridiplantae, Streptophyta, Magnoliopsida, Ranunculales, Papaveraceae.
CUUAAUUCUAAAGCUCUGGGAGAAAACCAGCGAGGAGACAGAGAAAAUCACCACCACCAUCUACCUCCUUCAAUUUCAUCCUCUUUCACCGCCAUCACCACCACCACCACCACCAUCUUCUUCGUUCUUCUUUUCUCUUCAUUUCCCUAGGUUUAGCGUUUUGAAUUGAUGUUCUAACCUGCAACCCUAAAUACCAGAUUAGAUGAAUAACGUCGAAGCCCAAGACUUAGAGUUUGGAAUUGAUAUUCUAACCUGCAACCCUAAAUACCUGGGUAAAAAUUUCUUCUUUCUUCUCACAAUUAAACAUUCAAUUUUGGUUUUGUAAUAAUUUCAGUUAUAAUUUCAAUGUUAUUAUCUUCCCAAUUUCGAUUUUAACUUCACUUAGAAAGAGAAUUUCAGUUUUACUAAGCAACAAAUUUAUAGCUAAGUAAAUUGAAUUUCAACUUUUUGGUUUGUGGAUGGAUCACGUCGAAGCCUAAGACUUAUGGAGCUAGCUCGAAUUGUAGAGCAAGCCGAGAGUGAUGCAGACAAAAAAAAAGCCAUUGCGGAAUGCUCAGUAUAAAGCGAAACAAGAGAAAAUGUCAGACGAUGAAAGAAAGGCAUUGAAGGAAGAUGUCGUCUUGCUUAUCGCAAUCGAUUCGGAGCCAGUACAAGUUGUAAGCUUACCAAUUCUGUGCACAACUCUUUAACUUGCAUUAGCUUUAUAGUCACAUUGCUUACAUCAGACUUAGAGAUAUUUCUUUUCGUAAUCCGUUCAAGUUGAUGCAUCUACUAUAAGCAGUGUGGUUGUUGUUGGCGGUGAGUCGUGGUGGUGAUUAAUUGUGAGCAGAAAUGAUGGGAGAAUCUGAGAUAGAAUUGUUGAAGAUUAUCCGGGAAAAAAGACUUGAGAUGUACAAAAAGGAUUUGUGUGUUUUCCUUAUCAUUUACUUCUUAUUUUGUUUCAGUUAUAGCUGUAUAUGAGAAAACUAGACAUUGACGCGUACCUUUUUAUGUUCUCUUCAAGAGUGCAGUUCAGAAGCUAGAGGCGGUAAUACUAACAUGAAAGAUCGGGUAAUCGGUAUGGUUCAACAACCUGGUAGUUGCUUAAUGUUGUGGACAAGUGAGUUUGGGACAGUUCAUUGUUGCUGAAAAAGAGCAAGGUGUAGAUGCUUCUAAGGAUGCCAAAUGAUAAAAUAAAGUAUUCAGUAUUUGCUGGCAUAUGGCUUAUGGAGAUAUUGCCAUUAUCAUUUGGUUUUUGUUUAUCAAUUUUGUACUAUGAGAUAUUAUCAAAUUCAGGUUUGGGUAUGCCAGGUAGUUUAUAUAGAUUGUUUAUGGGAAUAUAUUGAAAAUUCUUAGGCAAUGUGAUUCUUUUGGAAAUUACCAAUUA